This 165-nucleotide unclassified non-coding RNA is filed under the name Pseudomonas sp. LAMO17WK12:I8. RNAcentral describes it as "Bacterial large signal recognition particle RNA". The stretch from base 55 to 151 matches the Rfam family "Bacterial small signal recognition particle RNA". Rfam says of the family: The signal recognition particle (SRP) is a universally conserved ribonucleoprotein involved in the co-translational targeting of proteins to membranes. Archaeal SRP consists of a 7S RNA and homologues of the eukaryotic SRP19 and SRP54 proteins. Lineage: Bacteria; Pseudomonadati; Pseudomonadota; Gammaproteobacteria; Pseudomonadales; Pseudomonadaceae. RNAcentral also lists the same sequence under 3 other names. The record is from RNAcentral.
AAGAACGGUACAAUGGCGCCACUCGCUGUUCAGCGAGGCAUGUAGUGGUGGCCCCAUCGGUCCCCCCGCAUUGAUUACCCGUUAACCUGGUCAGGCCCGGAAGGGAGCAGCCAUAGCGGGAACAUCGAGUGCCGGGGUGUGGCUGGUGGGGCCGCCUCCAUUCUU